ACGGGACCCGCACAAGCGUGGAUGAUGUGGAUUAAUUCGAUGCAACGCGAAAACCUUUACCUACCUUGACAUGUCCGGAAUCCCGAAGAGAUUUGGGAGUGCUCGCAAGAGAGCCGGAACACAGGUGCUGCAUGGCUGUCGUCAGCUCGUGUCGUGAGAUGUUGGGUUAAGUCCCGCAACGAGCGCAACCCUUGUCAUUAGUUGCCAUCAUUUGGUUGGGCACUCUAAUGAGACUGCCGGUGACAAACCGGAGGAAGGUGGGGAUGACGUCAAGUCCUCAUGGCCCUUAUGGGUAGGGCUUCACACGUCAUACAAUGGUCGGUACAGAGGGUUGCCAACCCGCGAGGGGGAGCUAAUCCCACAAAGCCGAUCGUAGUCCGGAUCGCAGUCUGCAACUCGACUGCGUGAAGUCGGAAUCGCUAGUAAUCGUGGAUCAGCAUGUCACGGUGAAUACGUUCCCGGGUCUU
RNAcentral lists this ribosomal RNA (467 nucleotides) under uncultured Rhodocyclaceae bacterium. RNAcentral's name for it is "bacterial SSU rRNA". It matches the Rfam family "Bacterial small subunit ribosomal RNA", at positions 916 to 1381 of the family's 1533-position model. Lineage: Bacteria; Pseudomonadati; Pseudomonadota; Betaproteobacteria; Rhodocyclales; Rhodocyclaceae. The record is from RNAcentral.